This is a non-coding RNA of Oryctolagus cuniculus (rabbit), 1504 nucleotides long. Lineage: Eukaryota; Metazoa; Chordata; Mammalia; Lagomorpha; Leporidae. The record is from RefSeq and is a predicted model, not a curated record.
CCUCUAGCUGCAAAGGAGUCUGGGAAGUUUUUGCUUGAUUCGAAUCUCUGCAAAGGAAUGUGUGUCUUCAUUCCCUUACUUAAAUUCUGAUAAAAUAACAGGAGCAUUAGCAGCAUCCUCCUAUCCCUUGAUAUAAGCAACCCUUCUACAUCCAUCCAUAUACCCUCCUAUCCAGUUAUCCACAGGAAACGUCAGAGUCUGGGUCUGGAACAGCAGCCAAGGUUGAGACCACAGUCUGACUGCCCUUGCAUUGUCAGCCGUCGUUCUUCAGAUCCAGGAUACACCUGCCUGAGUCAUACAGGAUGAAGGGUGACCCCCAUUGGUGAGCUUUGUGGGCAAGUAACCUCACCAAGGGAUCAAACAAGAACACUUAGCACACUGCCGAGCACGUGGUCAGCACCCAAGAAAAUGUCAAAAGCCAACCAACUACAGAAUCCAGGAGAAGGCCAGUGAGUCACGGCAGUGGCUGAGGUCUUGCUGAGCAGUGCACAAAGGGGAGACCGGGGAAUCGCUGCCCGUGGGGCUCCCCUUGGAGGGGAGACCGGCUGACUGUGUGCAGGCACAGGCGGAGGAGACCGAACAGUGCUGAUCUGGUAGCCGUGGAGAGAAAGGAAACCACACUGGAGUCCACAGCAGAUUGUGAUUAAAGGAAAAAACAGAGGACCAUGCAGAGGACUGCACAGAGAGGUCUUCCGGAGACUUCACCUGUCCUCCACGGGGACACAGUGACCUGUGCAGGGAGGGGCCUGCUCUCAGCAGUGUUUCUCCGAGUGUGGGCGCUCAGAGCGGCUCCUGGGAUGAUGUUAGUUGGUUCGUGCAUGCCAGACCCUAUGCAACAUUAAAUCACUGAGAACAGUCCCUCCCCUUUCCAAUUCUCCUUCAAGCCUUUGAAGUCACGGGAAAAAAAAAUCAACUCGGUGCCUGUGUGUUUCUGACACCUCAUGAAUGCUCCUAAUUUCCCUUUUAGAUGAGUGGGUCUUAGAGUCAGGGUCCACCUAGCACGUAAGCUCCCUAGGGUUUCAUAACGGGGUUCUGUUUACCAUGGAUGUGCUUUAUUCUCAAAGUCGGUCUUCCAUUUCUGGCAGUGAUAUAAUACUUCCACCUUAAGCUCUUUAGAUCUUUUUUUUUUUUUCGCCACAGCACCACAUCGGUCCUCUUUAGAUCUUAACAAGCCAGUUAGCAUAAUGAAAGAUACCUGUUCGGGGCUGGUGCUGUGGUGCAGUAGGUUAAUCCUCUGCCUGGGCACCAGCAUCCCAUACGGGCGCUGGUUCUAGUCUGCUGCUCCUCUUCUGAUUCACCUCCCAUCUAUGGCCUGAGAAAGCAGUAGAAGAUGGCCUGAGCGCUUGGGCCCCAACACCAAGUGGGAAGCUGGGAAGAAGCACCUGGCUGCUGGCUUUGGAUUUGCACAGCUUCAGCCAUUACGGCCAUUUGGGGAGACCUUUCUCUCUGUCUCUCCCUCCCACUGUAUGUAACUCUACCUCUCAAAUAAAUAAAUAAAUAAAAU